RNAcentral lists this ribosomal RNA (734 nucleotides) under bacterium enrichment culture clone SC-2_63. RNAcentral describes it as "bacterial SSU rRNA". It matches the Rfam family "Bacterial small subunit ribosomal RNA", at positions 1 to 731 of the family's 1533-position model. The record is from RNAcentral.
UAGAGUUUGAUCCUGGCUCAGGAUGAACGCUAGCGGCAGGCUUAAUACAUGCAAGUCGAGGGGCAGCAGGGCUGUAGCAAUACAGUCGCUGGCGACCGGCAAACGGGUGCGGAACACGUACGCAACCUACCCAGAACUGGGGGAUAGCCCGGGGAAACCCGGAUUAAUACCUCGUACUACCUUGGAAGGGCAUCCUUCUGAGGUGAUAGCUCCGGCGGUUUUGGAUGGGCGUGCGGCUGAUUAGGUAGUUGGUUGGGGUAACGGCCCACCAAGCCUGCGAUCAGUAACUGGUGUGAGAGCACGACCAGUCACACGGGCACUGAGACACGGGCCCGACUCCUACGGGAGGCAGCAGUAAGGAAUAUUGGUCAAUGGCCGCAAGGCUGAACCAGCCAUGCCGCGUGAAGGAUGAAGGUCCUCUGGAUUGUAAACUUCUUUUAUAGGGGACGAAACCCGGAUAUUCUUAUCCGAUUGACGGUACCCUAGGAAUAAGCACCGGCUAACUCCGUGCCAGCAGCCGCGGUAAUACGGAGGGUGCAAGCGUUAUCCGGAUUCACUGGGUUUAAAGGGUGCGUAGGAGGGCAGGGAAGUCAGUGGUGAAAUCUCUGGGCUUAACCCAGAAACUGCCGUUGAUACUCUCUGUCUUGAAUCCCGUGGAGGUGAGCGGAAUAUGUCAUGUAGCGGUGAAAUGCUUAGAUAUGACAUAGAACACCANNNGCGAAGGCAGCUCGCUA